Molecule: non-coding RNA, 124 nt
Organism: Haemophilus pittmaniae HK 85
Lineage: Bacteria; Pseudomonadati; Pseudomonadota; Gammaproteobacteria; Pasteurellales; Pasteurellaceae
Source: Rfam
CUAUCAUCACCACCACUUGAAUUCACAUUCAAGCGUUUGGUGCUACCUGAAAAACAGAUAAGAGUCGCUGAGAAAAAAAUCUCGUAAAGCCCUCGAAGGUUCGCACCUUCGAGGGCUUUUUCUA